This 496-nucleotide ribosomal RNA is filed under the name uncultured bacterium. Its description in RNAcentral is "bacterial SSU rRNA". It matches the Rfam family "Bacterial small subunit ribosomal RNA", at positions 30 to 524 of the family's 1533-position model. The record is from RNAcentral.
AUUGAACGCUGGCGGCAUGCCUAACACAUGCAAGUCGAACGGAGAUAGGGGCAACCUUAUUUCAGUGGCGGACGGGUGAGGAAUGCGUCGGAAUCUGCCCUAUGGUGGGGGAUAACACAGGGAAACUUGUGCUAAUACCGCAUAAUGUCGAGAGACCAAAGCAGGGGACCGCAAGGCCUUGCGCGAUAGGAUGAGCCGACGCCCGAUUAGCUUGUUGGUAGGGUAAUGGCCUACCAAGGCGACGAUCGGUAGCUGGUCUGAGAGGAUGAUCAGCCACACUGGGACUGAGACACGGCCCAGACUCCUACGGGAGGCAGCAGUGGGGAAUAUUGGACAAUGGGCGCAAGCCUGAUCCAGCAAUGCCGCGUGUGUGAAGAAGGCCUGCGGGUUGUAAACUGCUUUUGUACGGACGAAAAAGUCCAGGUUAAUACCCUGGGUCCAUGACGGUACCGUAAGAAUAAGCACCGGCUAACUACGUGCCAGCAGCCGCGGUAAA